Cyanistes caeruleus (blue tit) is the source of this 2164-nucleotide non-coding RNA. NCBI's taxonomy places the organism in Eukaryota, Metazoa, Chordata, Aves, Passeriformes, Paridae. The record is from RefSeq and is a predicted model, not a curated record.
GCCUGGGCCCGCGGGGACGGGCCCAGCGCGGCCUCCGCAUCCCCGGCCUUGCGUGACGGGGGUCGCCGCCCAUGGCGGCCCCUCCCUGGGGCUGCGCCGCUGGCGGUACCGGAGGCGGUACCGGAGGCCUCCGGCCCACGCGUGAGGCCCGGCUCCACCGCUGAUCGUGGUCUUCAGCUGUCUGGGUGUCAUUUCUAGUCAGGAAACAACUGCAAGGAUUGGAUUUCAUGGGUUCUGCUAAGUCAGUGAUAUUCAGUCACUGGUGAUGGGAGCAGUGUUUAUCUGGAACAUUAGUACUAUUAAAAGGGGCUAAAAUCUUGAGCGGCAGCUGGAAUUAGUAGAUACUCCAGCUUGGAAACUGUCAGCUGAAGAGCAAGAAUUGAAAAUAGAAGGAAAAAUACUGGAAAAUGAUUCCUUGUUUUCUAAGGAUACGGUUUUAGGGCAUGUGUUUUUUGGAACACAUGAGAACAGAAGAAGAGUAAUUGGGAUAUGAAAAAUAAAAGGGAUUUAAAUGCAGUUUGUGGCAAGUAAUUUCAACGUGAUCCAACAUAUGCAAGUUCUGGAUGUGAAUGCCUACCCGUAUACGUGUUCUAACAUGGCACUAUAUGUUGUUUCAUCCAUCUCUAACAAAUAUUUGUUACAGAGCUAGGAGAAUCCUCUGUCCUCCCACCCCUCAAAGCAGUUGUCUACCCAGAUGUAGCUGCACUGUCAGUAUUAAUAUAUGACAAAUUUUGAUCGGUACAGGGCUGUUUAUGAGUGCAAAAUGUAUCUAUAGCCGGUUUCUAAGUGAACAGUUUUUCCACCCCAGCACUGCUGUGUCUCAUCAGCUUUUUCCAGCCUGCAAAAUCUUGAAGGGGGUAGAAAAUGAGUGUUGUACUAGUCUCUUCAUAAAAGGAAAGUGAAAACUUCAUAAGGAUCACAUUUCCAAAGCAAUGUCACUUUCCAGGUACAGGUUCUCCCCAUUUGCACGGUGCAGUUACCAAUACACAGGGAUGGGCUGUUCUCUUCCCUACUUUAGGCUUCUGUUCAACUACUUUUUAUCUUAGUUACUGAUUGUUUAAGACUGCACUUUGUAAGUUUGAAGAGUGAAAGAGUUUUACAAGGUUAAGUAAAAAAAAUGAGAUGCCUGAAAAUAUUGCAAAAUUCAUCCCUCUCAAGUCUGUUAUUUAUUUAAUGCCUCGAUGAAAAUAUUACCUCCAAAAGUCUCUGUGCAUGUGGCUUGGUCCCUGGGACAGCUGCCAAGACAGGAAUUUCAGAUGCCUGAAAUCAUGUGCUCAGCAGGUGUAAAGGUGUAAAUUGCGUGCACGGAGAGUUCACCUUUUGUCCUUAACCCCAGAGGCAGUUUCUCUUCAUUAGCAGGGGAAGAUGGGGAAAAAGAUCAUCAUCGUUUCCUGACUGCAUGCCAAAGUUAUGUAUCAUAAGAAGAAAAUCUGUUCAUACAUUCUCAAAUAUGUUUUCUCCUAAUCUGUCUUCAGGAAAAUGUCUUUGAGAGGAGCAAGAGUGGUGAUUGCAGGAGAGCUGGGACAAAGGGAUAGAACAGAUACAGAAUUUCUCUGCUGGGAUUUUUCCAACAGGAUCCAUGUGACCUUUUGUGAUCCAGAACUAUUCCAUUGAAAAAGAAAGGAUAUUGGAAAAUCCCUGAGAGCCUGGUAUCUGGAACAAUGAGCAUUUCUGGAUGUGAGUGGCUCCUCUCUGUGUCCGAAGGCCGUGGUGGGGAUAUCUCACCACAUCUUCCCUCAGCACCAUUUUGGCCACGCCAGCCAUCCUGUACCUUCCCUGGAAUUUCAGAUUAUGCCUUUUCAUCUACUGAAAUAUUCCUCCCUGCAGAUUUAAAUAAUUAAUUGGGACGUGCCUAGUGGGUCUUGAGCUAAACUUCAGAGAGGCAGUGGAUAUGUGUGACCAAGUGACCUUUUGCUGUCCUGCUCGUCCCCGCGCGCUCGCUGUGCUCAAAGGGACGCUGUCAAAAUUGCUAGGCCUUAAAACUUUAACCCACACUGACAAGUUGUUCUACAUUAUAAGUCUUCCCUAAAAGAUUACCACGAUUGUUUUGUUUGUUUUGUUCCAACCAUCUUUGCUGAAGGCUCCACAAUACGGAUUCAUUUGUCCUUUUGGGUAGGUGGAUAUUUUUAAAUGCCCGGCUUAUUCCGUGACCUGUUAAAAUGGA